Long non-coding RNA from Silurus meridionalis, 1072 nucleotides. RefSeq lists it as uncharacterized. The record is from RefSeq and is a predicted model, not a curated record. The transcript is spliced from 3 exons. Lineage: Eukaryota; Metazoa; Chordata; Actinopteri; Siluriformes; Siluridae.
GUCAUGCUGGAACAGGUUCAGGUCUCCUAGUUCAGGAAUACUGUACAGUUUGGUGAAGAUCCACGUAUAGCCGAGAACGUCAGGUGCCCCAAUACUUUUUUCCGUAUAGUGUAUAAUCAACCAUGGUCACAUGUAAAAUGGUCACGUGUUUGAGAAAGACUACUGCGUAUUGUGAAACGUGACUACACUGAGGUCUGACUGUGUCCUGAGCGAAUAUAAUCGCGCUGUAGUUAAAAAAACAUCUCGAGGAUUGUUCUCUCUGUGGGAAUCCCAUCAGCCUCCGACUGUGCGUGAGCAGGUGAAAAAGGAGCGCUCUGUUCCCUCCAGGUUUUUUUUGUUUUCUUUCUUUAUCGUUAUUUGCGAGUACGGACUGCUCUACGAAGGCCAAUUAUUAUGCCUCUGCCGUCCCCUUUCGCUUCUCCGAGCCAAUAAAAGGAAGCUUUAUGGGAGUGUGAUGUCAUCGCUCGGUCACACGGCGUGAGGCCGAUAGACCGCCUCGCUCGGCAACAAUGCCCAUUUCACACUCCGGUGCAGCGGGCGGCCUCAUGAGCAAGAAAAAUAGAGCUUAGGCCCUCUGUCUCUUCGCUUUUCGAUUCUCUACAUGAAGAUGCAAUAAACAGCCUUCUAGGGUUCUUCAUCAGGUUCUACCUGGCUGUUACUAUGGAAACAAUGACAUACUGCAUUCGAAUAAGUGUGUUACUGUAAAGAACAAUAAAAAUCCAAUCAACAGCUCCGGCUGAAGAGCCCGCUAGCAAAAUGGCUGACCUCUGAGCACGAUGAAGGGAACGCCAGAGAGGAAAAGACGGAUGAAUGACAGAAAAGAGCCAUGAUGAGGUCAGGCGGAGAGGAAACACAAAACGAGUGGAUGGAGGGGUUUAGAGUGAAAUAAGGAAAGAAGAAAAAAUAUACGGGGAUUUUUGUGCAUGUGUAGGUGUGUGUGUGUGUGUGUGUGUGUGUGUGUGCUUGAACACCUAACUUCACAUCUGUAUAAAUAGCAGCACAGAUGUUUGUAAAAACUUUGUGUUUGGAUAAGAAAUGAAAUGCAAUGAAAUAAAUAUAUAUUUAAAAGAAA